This 155-nucleotide long non-coding RNA is filed under the name Cricetulus griseus (Chinese hamster). RNAcentral describes it as "lncRNA (ENSCGRG00000024470.1)". The record is from RNAcentral. Lineage: Eukaryota; Metazoa; Chordata; Mammalia; Rodentia; Cricetidae.
CUACUGACCAGAGAUGCCUGAGCCAGAGAUACUGCUGACCAGAGAUGCCUGAGAUCCAAGGACUUGCUUCAAAGGGGAUCUGUUCCACCCUUCACAAUGGAAUGCUGACCCAUGGCACUGCAAUGGUAGAGUUUUCCAUUUUCCAGCUUCCAGUG